Molecule: transfer RNA, 70 nt
Filed under: Loxodonta africana (African savanna elephant)
Lineage: Eukaryota; Metazoa; Chordata; Mammalia; Proboscidea; Elephantidae
Rfam family: tRNA
About the family: Transfer RNA (tRNA) molecules are approximately 80 nucleotides in length.
Source: Rfam by way of RNAcentral
GCAGUGGUGGUUCAGUGGCAGAAUUCUUGCCUUCCAUGUGGAGAUCUGGGUUCGAUUCCAGACCACUGCA